UUGGAGGGGCAAGUCUGGUGCCAGCAGCCGCGGUAAUUCCAGCUCCAAUAGCGUAUAUUAAAGUUGUUGCAGUUAAAAAGCUCGUAGUUGAAUUUCGGGAUCAAUAUGUCGGUCGUGCUUUUGGUACGUACUGGCAUCAUUGGUUUCUCCCUUCUGACAAACCAUGAUGUCAUUAAUUUGGUGUUAUGGGGAGUUAGGACUGUUACUUUGAAAAAAUUAGAGUGUUUAAAGCAGGCAUUAGCUUGAAUACAUUAGCAUGGAAUAAUGAAAUAGGACGUUUGACCCUAUUUUGUUGGUUUCUAGGAUCGACGUAAUGAUUAAUAGGGAUAGUUGGGGGCAUUAGUAUUCAAUUGUCAGAGGUGAAAUUCUUGGAUUUAUUGAAGACUAACUACUGCGAAAGCAUUUGCCAAGGAUGUUUUCAUUAAUCAAGAACGAAAGUUAGGGGAUCGAAGACGAUCAGAUACCGUCGUAGUCUUAACCAUAAACUAUGCCGACUAGGGAUCGGAUGAUGUUAAUUUUUUAAUGACUCAUUCGGCGCCUUACGGGAAAC
This 550-nucleotide ribosomal RNA is filed under the name uncultured Glomeromycotina. Its description in RNAcentral is "SSU rRNA". It matches the Rfam family "Eukaryotic small subunit ribosomal RNA", at positions 548 to 1098 of the family's 1831-position model. The record is from RNAcentral. Lineage: Eukaryota; Fungi; Glomeromycota.